CUAUCCAUGGGAAGGUCGACUAUCCAUAUAAAUAGAAGCUUCUAUUUACAUGGAUAGUCGACCUUCCCAUGCAUAG
RNAcentral lists this small RNA (76 nucleotides) under Mytilus galloprovincialis (Mediterranean mussel). Lineage: Eukaryota; Metazoa; Mollusca; Bivalvia; Mytilida; Mytilidae. The record is from RNAcentral.